CUUCCAAAGCUUUCUUUAGUGAUAGUCCGUUUUCUUCGUCACAUACAAUUGCAUAAUAAUUUCAAGAACAUAGAAAUUAGAAUUGAAUUAUAUUAUACACUAUGUGAUAGUUAGUGACACAAAUAAUCACUAAAUUUUUCAUUAUAAAGGUAAUUUUACAAAAUAAUCAUAUAUAAUAUAUUUAAUAAAAUAGAAAUUAGUGAUAAAUAAUUUAUUAUCACCAAACAAAAAAAAUAGUGCCACUUACAUUAAAGAAUCCGGAAAGCCUGAUGGCUUUAAAGGAUAGGGGAGACUUUGCUCGUGAUAGAUGUCAUAAGUGAAAGAAUCAGAACAAUAUACUCAAGGCCCUUGAGUCAAGAGUUUAGAAGAAUCCAAAUCCGCUGAAUGGACACUGAUGAUUAUCGCAUCAAUUUUUUUAUUUUCUUUGGAGAACAUUGACAUUGCUUCUGAAUACGUAUCGAUCGUGAUAAUUGCAUCAAUAUACCUUAAAAGUUAGUGAAAAAAAUAUGCACAAAAUUAUCUCGAUAAUUUUUAAUUUCUCAUAUAUAAUUCAAUUGUAAUUUUCUAGUUAUAUUGUUAUUUUUUAGUUUACGCAAUUGCACGUAUGAAUAAAUUAUAUUGUUAUCAAUGUGAGGAAUCAUAGACAAGUUUACCUAUAAAGCUAUAUACAGUUCUAUUAAGGAUAAGUAAUUGAAUAUAUAUGUGUCAAUUGGAGAAGUAAAAUAAUGUUACGUUAACAAGUGUUAUCAUCAUGAUAUUUUAUGUUUGUAAGUUAUUUUAUAGCAUGACCGUACUUUUUAGUAUGUUAAAAAUUGUCUAUUGUCUUAACAAAUUAAAAUAGAGAAAGAAAUUGAAUGAUUAUUAUAAUGGAACAAAAAUAAAAACAGUAUUUGAGCGUAGUAAUUUCGACAUGUUUUUUUGUACAAGGUAGAUUAUUGGUCGAUAAAAAUUAACACCAAACUAAUUAAGGAUAUUGAGAACAAUGCUACAUUGAAAAACAAUUUAGUGGAUCAGUUGUAUUACAUAAGCUAAUUUCCAAAACACAUGAAAAUUAAAGAAUAAAAAAGAAAGCGAGACGAAGAAGAAAAAUAUGGAGCUUAACCCGCUAAUUAUAUCACCUUAUCGUACUAUAUUAAGCAUUUCUUUCUACUUUUACCCUGCUCCAUUGAACAUUCUUAAAAUUUCUUUUACUUUUUUAUACUUUUAUUUUGUAAUGUUUUACUUUAUUUUGCUUUUUUUUUAAAAAUAGUAUCCAAUCAAACACAUAUUACUAGAAAAAUUAUCAAGAUUCUCUAAAAGUGUGCAAAUAUAUAUUUACUAAUAUUAUAAUGCAUAUUCAGAAGAUAAAUAAAUGACAUCUUCAAAAUUUUUAGUUCACGUAGUUUAAUAUACUAGGUUAGUCAUCACUUGUUGAAAAAAAUGAAGAAUCAUCAAAUAAGUUUAGUUUCCACCUCUCUAAAAUAAAACUGAAAAAAUAGAAAAGAAAUUCCAUGAAUUCUGUUAAUUAUAUACUAUGAAAAGGAUAUUGACGAUUUUUAAUUUCUUCACUCAACUACAUCUAAUUUAUCUUUAUAUAUAUAAUUCUGUUAUUAAACUAUAUGAAAUUAGAAGACGAAUAAAAUAGGGAGAAGAGAAAAAUUUCUUAUUCAUAAGUAUAUUAAGGAUUCAUUGAUCUUUCACAAGUUUUAUUUACAAUGAAGGAAAACCCUUUAUUUAUAGGGGAAACCUUACUUGGUCCCCAUGUAGGAUUCCUAACCAUGUCGUACAACGACUCCACAGAAUUAGACAUUCACUAUAAUACAAAUUGUUCAUAACACUCCCCCUUGAAUGUCCAUAAAUUAUGUGCCUCGUUAAAAGCUGAAAGCCACUUGACUGUAAGGAGAGGACUUCCAGGGCUCGAUAUACGGCUGUGUCUUACUAGAUAAAACUCAGUAGGAAAAAAUCUAGUGAAGGAAAAAAAGUACACAUAUCUAAUAAUACGCAUUAUGGAUACCUCAUUAAAAACCUUACAAGGAAAAUCCAGUGGAACAAAACCUUGUGAGGAAAAAAGAGUACAUCGCGUAUUAACUCCCUUUAAUGACAACAUUAAUUCAGAGACUAGAAUCUUUGUUUUCCAAGCUUGUGCAGCAUCUUCUUGAAAGUUGUAGUUGGUAGAGAUUUAGUGAAUAAAUCAACAAUAAUAUUACUUGAACAGACCUCUUACAUGUUGAUAUCCCCAUUCUUGGGAGCUUAUGAGUGUAGAAAAACCUUGACGAAAUAUGCUUUCUUCUAUAUGCUUUUAUAAAUCUUCCCUUGAGGGUCAAAGAUUUCUGCAAGAUCCUUACUUCAACUUUUUUAAGCAAAUAAUCUAUUGCCAAGAUUUUCAAUUCUAAUCAUCAACUUGCAUAAUAAUACUUGUAUAUGCUCUAUGCAUUUUGAAUCUAUUUAAUCCUUAUGAGGAUGAUAAAUAAGUUUUUAAAAAACUUGUAUAUGCUUUAGAUUUUGGACCCAUUGGAUAUUUUCAUAUCAAUUUUGUCAAGUAACAACAUUUAAUAUUAGAUGUAUGACAUUUUCUAGUGCCUAGAAUGCAAGUCAAAUAAGCUUUACGGACUUCUUCACACCCACCGUGCAAUGCAUGCGGUUAUUGAUAGACAGAAGAAUCAUGGUAUCCACUUCCGGGUAUUAGCAAAAGCGUUACGUAUGUCUGGUGGAGAUCAUAUUCACUCUGGUACCGUAGUAGGUAAACUUGAAGGUGAAAGAGACAUAACUUUGGGCUUUGUUGAUUUACUGCGUGAUGAUUUUGUUGAACAAGAUAGAAGUCGCGGUAUUUAUUUCACUCAAGAUUGGGUCUCUUUACCAGGUGUUCUACCUGUGGCUUCAGGAGGUUACCAAGAUGCA
Molecule: long non-coding RNA, 2877 nt
Filed under: Solanum lycopersicum (tomato)
Lineage: Eukaryota; Viridiplantae; Streptophyta; Magnoliopsida; Solanales; Solanaceae
Description: long non-coding RNA (SLYC_LNC000897)
Source: RNAcentral